RNAcentral lists this ribosomal RNA (224 nucleotides) under uncultured bacterium. RNAcentral describes it as "partial 16S ribosomal RNA". It matches the Rfam family "Bacterial small subunit ribosomal RNA", at positions 524 to 747 of the family's 1533-position model. The record is from RNAcentral.
UACGUAGGGGGCAAGCGUUGUCCGGAAUCAUUGGGCGUAAAGCGCGCGUAGGCGGCCCGAUAAGUCCGCUGUAAAAGUCCAGGGCUCAACCCUGGAAAGCCGGUGGAUACUGUCGGGCUAGAGUCCGGAAGAGGCGAGUGGAAUUCCUGGUGUAGCGGUGGAAUGCGCAGAUAUCAGGAGGAACAUCGAUGGCGAAGGCAGCUCGCUGGGACGGUACUGACGCU